This 253-nucleotide ribosomal RNA is filed under the name uncultured bacterium. RNAcentral describes it as "partial 16S ribosomal RNA". It matches the Rfam family "Bacterial small subunit ribosomal RNA", at positions 524 to 776 of the family's 1533-position model. The record is from RNAcentral.
UACAGAGGGGGCAAGCGUUGUUCGGAAUUACUGGGCGUAAAGGGCGCGUAGGCGGCCUUCUAAGUCGAACGUGAAAUCCCUGGGCUCAACCCAGGAACUGCGUCCGAUACUGGGAGGCUUGAAUCCGGGAGAGGGAUGCGGAAUUCCAGGUGUAGCGGUGAAAUGCGCAGAUAUCGGGAGGAACACCGGUGGCGAAGGCGGUUCUCUGGGCCUGUACUGACGCUGAGGAGCGAAAGCGUGGGGAGCGAACAGG